This 634-nucleotide ribosomal RNA is filed under the name uncultured archaeon. RNAcentral describes it as "bacterial SSU rRNA". It matches the Rfam family "Archaeal small subunit ribosomal RNA", at positions 219 to 855 of the family's 1478-position model. The record is from RNAcentral.
GACCGAUCAGGUUGUUGGUGAGGUAACGGCUCACCAAGCCUUUAACCGGUACGGGCCGUGAGAGCGGAAGCCCGGAGAUGGGCACUGAGACAAGGGCCCAGGCCCUACGGGGCGCAGCAGUCGCGAAAACUCCGCAAUACACGAAAGUGUGACGGGGUCAUCCCGAGUGCCAUCCGCUGAGGAUGGCUUUUCCCCAGUGUAUAAAGCUGGGGGAAUAAGGAGAGGGCAAGCCUGGUGUCAGCCGCCGCGGUAAUACCAGCUCUCCGAGUGGUGGGGAUGCUUAUUGGGCCUAAAGCAUUCGUAGCCUGCUUGGCAAGUCCUCCGUUAAAUCCAACGAUUCAAUCGUUGGGCUGCGGGGGAUACUGUCCGGCUAGGGGGCGGGAGAGGCCGACGGUAUCCUCGGGGUAGGGGUGAAAUCCUAUAAUCCCGGGAGGACCACCAGUGGCGAAGGCUGUCGGCUAGAACGCGCUCGACGGUGAGGGAUGAAAGCUGGGGGAGCGAACCGGAUUAGAUACCCGGGUAGUCCCAGCUGUAAACGAUGCAGGCUAGGUGUUGGCGCGGCUACGUGCCGCUCCAGUGCCGCAGGAAAGCCGUUAAGCCUGCCGCCUGGGAAGUACGGCCGCAAGGCUGAAAC